GUCCUUUAGUUAAAAAUAAUUUAAGGUCUAACCUGCCCAUUGAUUAAAUUAAAAGGCCGCAGUAAUUUGACUGUGCAAAGGUAGCAUAAUCAUUAGUUUUUUAAUUAAAAGCUUGUAUGAAUGGUUGGACGAGAUAAAAUCUGUCUCUUUAUAAAAAAUAGAAUUUAAUUUUUAAGUUAAAAAGCUUAAAUUUUAAUAAAAGACGAGAAGACCCUAUAGAUCUUUAUAUAAUUUUUUUUAGUAUUAAUAAAGAAAUUUUUAUUUAUUAAUUAAAUUUGUAUUUUAUUGGGGUAAUAAAAAGAUUAAAAAAAUUCUUAAAUAUUUAACAAAAAUUAUUGGUUAAAUGAUCCAUUAUUAAUGAUUAUAAGAUUAAGUUACCUUAGGGAUAACAGCGUAAUUUUUUUAGAGAGUUCUUAUCAAUAAAAAAGUUUGCGACCUCGAUGUUGGAUUAAAAGUAAUUUCGGGUGUAGAAGUUCGGAGUUUUGGUCUGUUCGACCAUUAAAUUUUU
Molecule: ribosomal RNA, 508 nt
Filed under: Hydroporus planus
Lineage: Eukaryota; Metazoa; Arthropoda; Insecta; Coleoptera; Dytiscidae
Description: partial 16S ribosomal RNA
Rfam family: Bacterial large subunit ribosomal RNA
Source: RNAcentral